CCUACGGGGGGCUGCAGUGGGGAAUAUUGGACAAUGGGGGGAACCCUGAUCCAGCCAUGCCGCGUGUGUGAAGAAGGCCCUCGGGUUGUAAAGCACUUUCAGUGAGGAAGAACGCCUGGUGGUUAAUACCCAUCAGGAAAGACAUCACUCACAGAAGAAGCACCGGCUAACUCCGUGCCAGCAGCCGCGGUAAUACGGAGGGUGCGAGCGUUAAUCGGAAUUACUGGGCGUAAAGCGCGCGUAGGUGGCUUGAUAAGCCGGUUGUGAAAGCCCCGGGCUCAACCUGGGAACGGCAUCCGGAACUGGCAGGCUAGAGUGCAGGAGAGGAAGGUAGAAUUCCCGGUGUAGCGGUGAAAUGCGUAGAGAUCGGGAGGAAUACCAGUGGCGAAGGCGGCCUUCUGGACUGACACUGACACUGAGGUGCGAAAGCGUGGGUAGCAAACAGGAUUAGAUACCCCUGUAGUC
Molecule: ribosomal RNA, 465 nt
Filed under: Vreelandella stevensii
Lineage: Bacteria; Pseudomonadati; Pseudomonadota; Gammaproteobacteria; Oceanospirillales; Halomonadaceae
Description: partial 16S ribosomal RNA
Rfam family: Bacterial small subunit ribosomal RNA
Source: RNAcentral